GAAGCGGCGCGCGAUGGCACCGCCCGUGGCGUCGCCGGCGCCGAUGACGAGGAUGGCUUUCUUGUCGCUCAUGGUUCAGUCUCCUUGGUGGUUUCG
Molecule: transfer RNA, 96 nt
Filed under: Variovorax sp. PBS-H4
Lineage: Bacteria; Pseudomonadati; Pseudomonadota; Betaproteobacteria; Burkholderiales; Comamonadaceae
Description: tRNA-Gly
Source: RNAcentral